AUGCUACCACUCUCCUGCGCGCCACCGCUACCGCCGCCGCAGUCGCGCCCGAACCCCAGCCCUAGCCACAAGCCCAAGCCCCAUCCGUGCGUGCUUCUCUUCCCUGCCGCCCUCCGCACGGCGGCCGCGGCGGCCACCAUCUCCUUCUCCCUCCUCGCCGGCAACGCGGCGGCUGUGGCGGCGGUGGAGCAGCCCUCGGAGAUAUGCCGCGGCCAGGACGACGGGAGGGAGGUAGAGGUGAAGGCCGAGGCGGUGACGAACGAGCAGCUCGUGGAGGAGGCGUGGGAGGUGGUCAACGAGGGCUUCCUCCCCGACGCCGGCAGCCGCCCGUGGUCACCGGAGCUGUGGAUGCAACGGAAGCAAGAUAUUCUUCAAGGUUCAAUCAAAUCCCGCUCUAGAGCCCACGACAUCAUCACGAAAAUGCUAGCUAGCCUGGGUGAUCCAUAUACAAGAUUCCUGUCGUCCUCAGAUUUCUCGAAGAUGUCGAAGUAUGACAUGACGGGGAUUGGGUUGAACUUAAGAGAGAUUCCUGAUGACAAUGGUUCUUUAAGGUUGGUGGUAUUAGGAUUGAUACUAGAUGGGCCUGCUCACUCUGCUGGUGUUAGACAGGGUGAUGAGCUUUUGUCUGUCAAUGGUAUCGAUAUAAGAGGUAAAUCUGCAUUUGACGUGUCGUCCAUGCUGCAAGGCCCAAAGGAAACUUUCGUUACAAUUAAGGUUAAGCAUGACAGCUGUGGUCCUGUUGAGUCAAUGAAAGUGCAAAGACAGAUGGCUGCUCGUACUCCAAUUUUCUAUCGUUUGGAGAAAAGAGACAAUGAGAAUUCAUCUGUUGGAUAUAUUCACAUUAAAGAAUUUAAUGCAGUGGCCAAAAAAGAUUUGGUCAGCGCAUUGAAACGUCUACAAAAUUCAGGUGCCUCCUAUUUUGUUUUGGACCUGAGGGACAAUCUUGGUGGACUAGUGCAAGCUGGAAUAGAGAUUGCAAAGCUCUUCUUGAACAAAGGAGACACGGUCAUUUAUACUACUGGCCGGGAUCGUCAAGUCCAAAAUACAAUUGUUGCUGACAGUGGACCUUUGGUUACAACUCCUGUGAUGGUACUGGUGAAUAAUAGGACAGCAAGUGCCAGCGAAAUAGUUGCUUCAGCACUUCAUGACAAUUGCAAAGCUGUUCUUGUCGGUGAAAGGACUUUUGGCAAGGGCUUAAUCCAAUCAGUAUUUGAACUUCAUGAUGGUUCUGGUAUUGUCGUCACAGUUGGCAAAUAUGUCACGCCAAAUCACAAAGACAUCAAUGGAGAUGGAAUAGAACCAGACUACCGCCGUCUUCCUGAUCUCAAUGAAGCCAGAGAUUACCUUUCGCGUUGCCAAAGCAAGAAAUUAAGUUGA
This 1377-nucleotide ribosomal RNA is filed under the name Triticum aestivum (bread wheat). Its description in RNAcentral is "partial small subunit ribosomal RNA". The record is from RNAcentral. Lineage: Eukaryota; Viridiplantae; Streptophyta; Magnoliopsida; Poales; Poaceae.